This 2867-nucleotide small RNA is filed under the name Pan troglodytes (chimpanzee). RNAcentral's name for it is "retained intron". Lineage: Eukaryota; Metazoa; Chordata; Mammalia; Primates; Hominidae. The record is from RNAcentral.
ACAGACACCAUGGCCGAGCCUCUGAAGGAGGAAGACGGCGAGGACGGCUCUGCGGAGCCCCCCGGGCCCGUGAAGGCCGAACCCGCCCACACCGCUGCCUCUGUAGCGGCCAAGAACCUGGCCCUGCUUAAAGCCCGCUCCUUCGAUGUGACCUUUGACGUGGGCGACGAGUACGAGAUCAUCGAGACCAUAGGCAACGGGGCCUAUGGAGUGGUGUCCUCCGCCCGCCGCCGCCUCACCGGCCAGCAGGUGGCCAUCAAGAAGAUCCCUAAUGCUUUCGAUGUGGUGACCAAUGCCAAGCGGACCCUCAGGGAGCUGAAGAUCCUCAAGCACUUUAAACACGACAACAUCAUCGCCAUCAAGGACAUCCUGAGGCCCACCGUGCCCUAUGGCGAAUUCAAAUCUGUCUACGUGGUCCUGGACCUGAUGGAAAGCGACCUGCACCAGAUUAUCCACUCCUCACAGCCCCUCACACUGGAACACGUGCGCUACUUCCUGUACCAACUGCUGCGGGGCCUGAAGUACAUGCACUCGGCUCAGGUCAUCCACCGUGACCUCAAGCCCUCCAACCUAUUGGUGAAUGAGAACUGUGAGCUCAAGAUUGGUGACUUUGGUAUGGCUCGUGGCCUGUGCACCUCGCCCGCUGAACAUCAGUACUUCAUGACUGAGUAUGUGGCCACGCGCUGGUACCGUGCGCCCGAGCUCAUGCUCUCUUUGCAUGAGUAUACACAGGCUAUUGACCUCUGGUCUGUGGGCUGCAUCUUUGGUGAGAUGCUGGCCCGGCGCCAGCUCUUCCCAGGCAAAAACUACGUACACCAGCUACAGCUCAUCAUGAUGGUGCUGGGUACCCCAUCACCAGCCGUGAUUCAGGCUGUGGGGGCUGAGAGGGUGCGGGCCUAUAUCCAGAGCUUGCCACCACGCCAGCCUGUGCCCUGGGAGACAGUGUACCCAGGUGCCGACCGCCAGGCCCUAUCACUGCUGGGUCGCAUGCUGCGUUUUGAGCCCAGCGCCCGCAUCUCAGCAGCUGCUGCCCUUCGCCACCCUUUCCUGGCCAAGUACCAUGAUCCUGAUGAUGAGCCUGACUGUGCCCCGCCCUUUGACUUUGCCUUUGACCGCGAAGCCCUCACUCGGGAGCGCAUUAAGGAGGCCAUUGUGGCUGAAAUUGAGGACUUCCAUGCAAGGCGUGAGGGCAUCCGCCAACAGAUCCGCUUCCAGCCUUCUCUACAGCCUGUGGCUAGUGAGCCUGGCUGUCCAGAUGUUGAAAUGCCCAGUCCCUGGGCUCCCAGUGGGGACUGUGCCAUGGAGUCUCCACCACCAGCCCCGCCACCGUGCCCCGGCCCUGCACCUGACACCAUUGAUCUGACCCUGCAGCCACCUCCACCAGUCAGUGAGCCUGCCCCACCAAAGAAAGAGGGUGCCAUCUCAGACAAUACUAAGGCUGCCCUUAAAGCUGCCCUGCUCAAGUCUUUGAGGAGCCGGCUCAGAGGUGCCUUGUGGGCAGGUCGGGUGGGCAGAGGGGAGACUUGGACUUGGACAAGGCUUCAGGCUUUUACCUUCUCCCCUGCCCAACUUCCCCGCAGAUGGCCCCAGUGCACCCCUGGAGGCUCCUGAGCCUCGGAAGCCGGUGACAGCCCAGGAGCGCCAGCGGGAGCGGGAGGAGAAGCGGCGGAGGCGGCAAGAACGAGCCAAGGAGCGGGAGAAACGGCGGCAGGAGCGGGAGCGAAAGGAACGGGGGGCUGGGGCCUCUGGGGGCCCCUCCACUGACCCCUUGGCUGGACUAGUGCUCAGUGACAAUGACAGAAGCCUGUUGGAACGCUGGACUCGAAUGGCCCGGCCCGCAGCCCCAGCCCCCACCUCUGUGCCGGCCCCUGCCCCAGCGCCAACGCCAACCCCAACCCCAGUCCAACCUACCAGUCCUCUUCCUGGCCCUGUAGCCCAGCCCACUGGCCCGCAACCACAACCUGCGGGCUCUACCUCUGGCCCUGUACCCCAGCCUGCCUGCCCACCCCUUGGCCCUGCACCCCACCCCACUGGCCCUCCUGGGCCCAUCCCUGUCCCCGUGCCACCCCAGAUUGCCACCUCCACCAGCCUCCUGGCUGCCCAGUCACUUGUGCCACCCCCUGGGCUGCCUGGCUCCAGCACCCCAGGGAUUUUGCCUUACUUCCCACCUGGCCUGCCACCCCCAGACGCCGGGGGAGCCCCUCAGUCUUCCAUGUCAGAGUCACCUGAUGUCAACCUUGUGACCCAACAGCUAUCUAAGUCACAGGUGGAGGACCCCCUGCCCCCUGUGUUCUCAGGCACACCAAAGGGCAGUGGGGCUGGCUACGGUGUUGGCUUUGACCUGGAGGAAUUCUUAAACCAGUCUUUCGACAUGGGCGUGGCUGAUGGGCCACAGGAUGGCCAGGCAGAUUCAGCCUCUCUCUCAGCCUCCCUGCUUGCUGACUGGCUCGAAGGCCAUGGCAUGAACCCUGCCGAUAUUGAGUCCCUGCAGCGUGAGAUCCAGAUGGACUCCCCAAUGCUGCUGGCUGACCUGCCUGACCUCCAGGACCCCUGAGGCCCACAGCCUGUGCCUUGCUGCCACAGUAGACCUAGUUCCAGGAUCCAUGGGAGCAUUCUCAAAGGCUUUAGCCCUGGACCCAGCAGGUGAGGCUCGGCUUGGAUUAUUCUGCAGGUUCAUCUCAGACCCACCUUUCAGCCUUAAGCAGCCACCUGAGCCACCACCGAGCCAUGGCAGGAUCGGGAGACCCCAACUCCCCCUGAACAAUCCUUUUCAGUAUUAUAUUUUUAUUAUUAUUAUGUUAUUAUUACACUGUCUUUUUGCCAUCAAAAUGAGGCCUGUGAAAUACAAGGUUCCCUUCUGCACCUGA